This 200-nucleotide ribosomal RNA is filed under the name uncultured bacterium. RNAcentral describes it as "partial 16S ribosomal RNA". It matches the Rfam family "Bacterial small subunit ribosomal RNA", at positions 8 to 200 of the family's 1533-position model. The record is from RNAcentral.
AGAGUUUGAUCCUGGCUCAGGACAAACGCUGGCGGCGUGCGUAACACAUGCAAGUCGGACGAGAGGAGCGCCUUUUCGGAGGGGCUUUUUGAGUGGCGGACGGGUGCGUAACACGUGGAUAACCUGCCCUGGUGUGGGGGAUACCCUGUAGAAAUACGGGCUAAUACCGCAUACGGUGGCCUCUGGAGAGCUGGAGGCCA